Molecule: long non-coding RNA, 3961 nt
Organism: Lynx canadensis (Canada lynx)
Lineage: Eukaryota; Metazoa; Chordata; Mammalia; Carnivora; Felidae
Exons: 12
Source: RefSeq, a predicted model, not a curated record
CCGAAGUUGGACGUUCAAUCGACUGAGCCACCCAGGCGCCCCUAAACCAGGAGCCUUUUUAAUAUAGAGUCCUCAUUUGGGGGAAGUUGGUGAUAUCAGAGGAGGACAUCACUUUGGAAAAUGAGUUGAAAGAAAAGAAAGAAAGAAAGAAAAUCGAGAAAGAGGAAUUCCUGAUAUUUUCAGAGGAAGAAAUACCUGAUUGCUGAAAACAGUCCAUAUCCUGAACAGUUUCCUAGAAAUGCAACUGGUUGAUUUUUAUAAGCCAUUCCAUGCAUCAGACAGCAAGUUCUGAUGCUUCCGAUUGCCCAAAGAGUGUCUAAUAACCCCAGCGUUACAUAUGCUCAACAUCAUGUGACCCUGGUUCUGCAAGAAAGAAUAAUCAUGCUGGUCAUACAGUUUAAGAAGACAAAGAAAUGUGUGCUCAUUUUGGAAAACUUAUCAUUUUCUGCAAAUCAGUAAGACAGAGACCCCAAUGGAAAAGGGGCCAAGAUACAAGAUCAAAAUUCACAGAAAGGAAAAAGUACAAAAAGCUAACAAGAAUAUGAAGAGAUGCUCAAACGCAUUAGUUGCCAGAAAGAUGGAACCUGGCAGCAAAGGUUCUUGGGGGGGGGUCUCAUCUGGUGCUGGAGAUGAUUGGCUCCCCCAGUCGGUAAGGAAGGGAUCCUCCUGACCCAGCACCUAGACCAACCUCUUUUGGAAGAGACGGAGCUUGAGAGGCAUCCUGUCCUCGUGCACAAUCAUGGUGCUAAUCAAUAAUGACCUUUAGGAUGAUCCACUGGCUUUGGAACAACUGCCUGGGACAUUUCCUUCCAGUAUCAGGUAUCUGUCUCCAGCAAACCUGUGCAAGCUGAGUAUCACCAUCUGGUCCUGGAUGCAUUUUGUUAUCAGUGCUGGAAGUGAUGAUACGGUAUGCCGCUGUCAUGUGCCCAGAGGAUGCAGGGGCCAGAGAGGACACUCAGAAGAAACUCUGCUACAGAAUUCUGCAUUUUCUCCAGCGGUACGAAGAGUGUGUUCACAGUUCCUGAUGACUGGUAGACAUCCCAGGGUGAGAAGUAUCUAGAAGACACAGUCAUGUGCACUUCACAGCUUGACUCUGGAGAGUGAUCUCUUCCAGGCCCUCUACUACAAGGGUAUUUUCUUUUUCUGUCACUGUCACCCCUCCAACAGCAGAAGUUUCUGGCUCACCCACCGGAGAGGCUAAAGCUUGCCUGGAAUUAUAUUGCUUACAGAAUAAAGAGAAGUCAGAGCCUCUUAUGUAACUUGAAGAGUAGGAAAGAUCCAGUGAUAAAAACCAGUGCCCUGAACUUUUGCAAAGCACGAUCAAUCGCUGCGUACGAUCCUCCGGUCCUUGGCAAGUGAGGCUGGAAAACAGAGCCAAGAUGCAAACUAUGAAUCAGCCGCUCAGCUUCACAUAACAGAUCAUGAACUGGGAGCUGUGUGGAAAGACAACCGGAUUGGGAGCUAGUGUCCUGCCCUGGGUUUCUUCCAGGUGACCCUACCACCCGUCAGCCAUCUGGUCUUGGUGGGGUGACUGGAAGGCUCCGAGUAGAAUUCUCUGAAGGGGCAUGCCUGUGUUGGCAGGGGAUGCUGGCUGUUGGCUGGGACUGAAGUUCAAUGGGGGUCAUUUGUCUCUCCAAGGUUCUGCAGGAAGGUGUGGGACUGGAAUAUUAAUGUGGCCAUUUUUGGAAAAAGACAAACUGCUCCAAGAAAUUCUCACCUUUUCCAUGUCAUCUGUACCAGCUGUAGCUGCAGAGAAAAUGUGAAAAGUGAGCCAGAUUCUCUCAGCUGCCCAGCUGCACAGAGUGAGCUGGGGACAGAGAGAGGGAGACACAGGAUCCGAAGGAGGUUCAAGGGUCUGCACCCGCAGCACAGAGCCCGACGCAGGGCUUGAACUCACCAACAGUGAGAUCAUGACCUGAGCUGAAGUUGGACGCUUAACUGACUGAGCCACCCGGGCACCCCAGAUAAUUCUGGUGCCUGUAAAGAGCCCAUCUCAUAAUGGGAACUGAAAAUGUCAGAUAACCUUGCAACAACGGAUGGAUACUUGACCUGGACUCUGCUAAUCAGACGCAUGUACUCCAUUCCCUAUGUCGUGAAGAAGGAAAAGACCAGAAUCUAUUCUGUUGACAGAUGGUCGCAGAGACCACGACCUGAAUGAGCAUUUCCAGCAUCCAUUGUUGGCACUCAAGGCACAACACCACGCACAGAACAUGGCUUCCCUGAAUGGUUGUACCUGGAUAUUUUUGAGCCCUGCUCUUUUCCUUGCAACCUCCGAGCUUCUACUUCUCUUGUCCUCACAGAGAUUCUUAGAUCUCUCCAGUACCUUUUGUGAUCAAUUCCUUUCCUGCCAACCCAUCACGUUUGGUUCCUGUAGCGUGUGCCUAAGAAGGUGGUCUGUGUGGGUCAGGACAGAACCAAGAAAACAGUCCUCUGCCUCUUGCAAGCAGUUGGGACUUAAUACAGAAGAUGAUGGAAGAUCUGGAAAGCCAACCAGGGAGCAAUGAGGUAACCCACAGAUCAGUAGCAUCUGGAAGCUACCAUCAACCCUGGAGCUGGAGGAACCAUGGAGGAAGGAAGGAGCUAGAACCACAGGACAGGAGCUACCCAGAGAGGUGACCAGUUGGGUCCCAAGACCUGAGGCCACACCAGGGAAAGAGCCAGAAAUAGACCUGAACGCCAACAGGCAAUUGCCAUGCACAAGUAAUGGGAGCUCACAUAAUUUUUGGCUGAACGAAGAGGGCCAGGACCAGAACCUUGUGUUAUACCAACUUUUAAAGGCUAGGGGAAUUAGGCCUUGGCCCCUAAGGAGAAGCAGUCCGAGAGCCAGGAGGACACUGAGGCAAGAGUAGCAUUCCCCAUGCCACAGCUCUGAAGCCAUCAAAUCUGCCAGACCCCUAACUGGAUUUCCACCAAACAGACCUCUGAAUUAUUCAUCAAGUCCAGACAAGAGACUCAGAGUGCUUAUCCAUGAGCUUCGGGUAUCAUAGCUUCUAAUCCAGGCUAUUCCCUGGGUAACCUGAGUUAUUAAGUAAGGAUCACAGUGCUUGCCAACUUUCACUGGGCAAGAUAAGAAGCAAUGCAUCAUGGAGAUUUUUAAAUAGCUUGGCAAGAUGGGGAAACACAUCACAGCAGGAACCUUAAUUGAUAAAGUAGAGACAAGUGCACUCAUUCUCACGGUUGGAAAUUACAGGACUGUCCUACUUGACUUCUGUGAGUGGAUGGAUUGCAACAUCUUUGUUAGUGGCUAAGCAGAAGACAAAACAAAGCUCUGUGUCUGGAUUUGGGAGAAGGAACGUAGUGUGAAGGAAAGAGCACCGUUUCAGAUCAGGAGAACUUCAUUUGAAUCUCACCUCCACUGCUCGUUAGCCUUGUGAUUUUAGAUGUUAUUUUCAACCAAGCAUUAGCCUUUUCUUGGUUAAAAGUGAUGAUGUGGGCCACUUAUCAUUCUGGGCACUUCAUAAAUAUUUGUUCCCAAAUCCCCCUUCUUUUUACCAUAACUCUAGCCUAGGAAGAAUUCUUUCUCCAAAAAAAUGGCUGGGAUGAAUCAUUUCAAUAGGAAAAAGUUUAAAACGAAUUAAAAUCCAAAACUCGGCACUCCUGGUUAUUAUCAAAAGCACCACUUUCCCUGGGCAGUCUACAUUCAAGGCUAUUUAGUCAGAAUUUCAGAUGGUCUAAAAAAAUUUUAUCUGUGCCUAUUUUUGUUUCUUGAAAGAAAAACCUCACUUCCCUUGCAUGCCAUCAAAUAUCAGUUCAUCUAUAUUUUGAAUGGGAUUUCAUCCUCCGUUGGUGCCUGGGUGUUUCUGUGACUUGAGCAAGGGGUCCCUGUGCCUUUAUCACCUGGUUUCUGCCUGACGUGGCUGGAAAGAUGAGCGCCUCCAGGCCCAUCACAAAGGAGCGGGGCCUCCACGGUGCAUUAGCAGCACCAAGGAGUAUUGCCAAGAUACAGCAUAAAAGACAAGAC